UUUCCGUAGGUGAACCUGCGGAAGGAUCAUUCAUAAUAAGUGUUUUAUGGCACUUUUUAAAAAUCCAUAUCCACCUUGUGUGCAAUGUUAGAUCUCGUCAAUCUUGGCGAGAUUUUUAUACAUCAACUCAUUCUUUAACUAAUUUGUCUGAAAAAUAUUAUGAAUACUUAAUUCAAAAUACAACUUUCAACAACGGAUCUCUUGGCUCUC
This 210-nucleotide unclassified non-coding RNA is filed under the name plant metagenome. RNAcentral's name for it is "partial contains small subunit ribosomal RNA, internal transcribed spacer 1, and 5.8S ribosomal RNA". The record is from RNAcentral.